UCAAAGGAAUUGACGGGGGCCUGCACAAGCGGUGGAGCAUGUGGUUUAAUUCGAUACAACGCGCAAAACCUUACCAGCCCUUGACAUAUGAACAACAAAACCUGUCCUUAAUAGGAUGGUACUGACUUUCAUACAGGUGCUGCAUGGCUGUCGUUAGCACGUGUCGUGAGAUGUUUGGUCUAGUCCCAUAACGAGCAAAACUCUCGUUUUGUGUUGCUGAGACAUGAAAUUGCCACCGAGUGACGUGCCAGCGCUACUACUUGAUUGAGUGUCAACACGUAGCUGUGCUUUCAGCAAGAAUUUCACCAUUGGGAGCCAGUGCCUUUCGAAGCACUUUCACGUGUGAACCAAAGUCUUCUUGCGCAAGACCCACGGAGACCUACCUAUAGUGACAUCAAAAUACCAGUGAGCAUGGAGGUUUGGUUGAAAUUGGUAACGACGACGUCGAGUUGGCGGCGGAGGAAGACUCUGCAUGAAGGCCAGAAAAUGGUGUGGAACGUAGUGGUAAUAGUACGCGCCCCGCUCCGAAACAAAGAAAAAGGUGCGUGCCGCACUCAUGAGGGACUGCAGUGACAUACUGGAGAAAGGUGGGGAUGACGUCAAGUCCGCAUGGCCCUUAUGGGCUGGGCCACACACGUGCUACAAUGGCAAUGACAAUGGGAAGCAAGGCUGUAAGGCGGAGCGAAUCCGGAAAGAUUGCCUCAGUUCGGAUUGUUCUCUGCAACUCGGGAACAUGAAGUUGAAAUCGCUAGUAAACACGGAUUAGCAUGCCGCGGUGAAUAUGUGCCCGGGCCCUAUACACACUGCCCGUCACACCCUAGGAAUUGGUUUUGCCCGAAACAUCGGACCAAUGAUCACCCAUGACUUCUGUGUACCACUAGUGCCAUAAAGUCCUUUGGUAGUCUUAUUGGCGCAUACCACGGUGGGGUGUUCGACUAGAGUGAAGUCGUAACAAGAUAGCCGUAGGGGAACCUGUGGCUA
RNAcentral lists this ribosomal RNA (981 nucleotides) under Triticum aestivum (bread wheat). RNAcentral describes it as "bacterial SSU rRNA". It matches the Rfam family "Bacterial small subunit ribosomal RNA", at positions 901 to 1520 of the family's 1533-position model. Lineage: Eukaryota; Viridiplantae; Streptophyta; Magnoliopsida; Poales; Poaceae. The record is from RNAcentral.